Molecule: RNA transcript, 4842 nt
Organism: Pongo pygmaeus (Bornean orangutan)
Lineage: Eukaryota; Metazoa; Chordata; Mammalia; Primates; Hominidae
Gene: SERBP1
Gene name: SERPINE1 mRNA binding protein 1
Exons: 8
Source: RefSeq, a predicted model, not a curated record
CGGAAGAGAAGACGGCCCCCCUCUCUCGGCCCGGCCAUCUUGUGGGAAGAGCUGAAGCAGGCGCUCUUGGCUCGGCGCGGCCCGCUGCAAUCCGUGGAGGAACGCGCCGCCGAGCCACCAUCAUGCCUGGGCACUUACAGGAAGGCUUCGGCUGCGUGGUCACCAACCGAUUCGACCAGUUAUUUGACGACGAAUCGGACCCCUUCGAGGUGCUGAAGGCAGCGGAGAACAAGAAAAAAGAAGCCGGCGGGGGCGGCGUUGGGGGCCCUGGGGCCAAGAGCGCAGCUCAGGCCGCGGCCCAGACCAACUCCAACGCGGCAGGCAAACAGCUGCGCAAGGAGUCCCAGAAAGACCGCAAGAACCCGCUGCCCCCCAGCGUUGGCGUGGUUGACAAGAAAGAGGAGACGCAGCCGCCCGUGGCGCUUAAGAAAGAAGGAAUAAGACGAGUUGGAAGAAGACCUGAUCAACAACUUCAGGGUGAAGGGAAAAUAAUUGAUAGAAGACCAGAAAGGCGACCACCUCGUGAACGAAGAUUCGAAAAGCCACUUGAAGAAAAGGGUGAAGGAGGCGAAUUUUCAGUUGAUAGACCGAUUAUUGACCGACCUAUUCGAGGUCGUGGUGGUCUUGGAAGAGGUCGAGGGGGCCGUGGACGUGGAAUGGGCCGAGGAGAUGGAUUUGAUUCUCGUGGCAAACGUGAAUUUGAUAGGCAUAGUGGAAGUGAUAGAUCUUCUUUUUCACAUUACAGUGGCCUGAAGCACGAGGACAAACGUGGAGGUAGCGGAUCUCACAACUGGGGAACUGUCAAAGACGAAUUAACAGAGUCCCCCAAAUACAUUCAGAAACAAAUAUCUUAUAAUUACAGUGACUUGGAUCAAUCAAAUGUGACUGAGGAAACACCUGAAGGUGAAGAACAUCAUCCAGUGGCAGACACUGAAAAUAAGGAGAAUGAAGUUGAAGAGGUAAAAGAGGAGGGUCCAAAAGAGAUGACUUUGGAUGAGUGGAAGGCUAUUCAAAAUAAGGAUCGGGCAAAAGUAGAAUUUAAUAUCCGAAAACCAAAUGAAGGUGCUGAUGGGCAGUGGAAGAAGGGAUUUGUUCUUCAUAAAUCAAAGAGUGAAGAGGCUCAUGCUGAAGAUUCGGUUAUGGACCAUCAUUUCCGGAAGCCAGCAAAUGAUAUAACGUCUCAGCUGGAGAUCAAUUUUGGAGACCUUGGCCGCCCAGGACGUGGCGGCAGGGGAGGACGAGGUGGACGUGGGCGUGGUGGGCGCCCAAACCGUGGCAGCAGGACCGACAAGGUAAUUUCUUUUCCUUUUACAUAGUUUAAGGACCUCUUAUAAGUCACUGGCUGGGUCAGACGUAGAAGUCACUUUUGGGAACAUAAGUAGAAGUAGUAGCAGUGUCUUUAAGAAACUGCAUGUUAGGUUAUAUUUUUGUUUAAAGCACUUAAAUGCCUUUUUGUGUAGUGCUGUUAGUAGUGUUAAGUUACCACCCUUUUGAGUUCUUUCUAGGUGCCGGUCAUGGUCCUGGGCUAGGCAUUUUAUGUACUUAAUGUCAUUUAAUUCUUGUUACUGUAAUGACAUUCUCAUUUUCCAGAUGAGAAAAUUCUGGUAUAGUGAAUCAGGUUAACUCUUGGCCUUUGCUAAGGCUUACCUGAAAACCAAUCUGUUCACUUUGAUAAUUCCUAACUGCUUUUUAGGUCUCCACUUAAUAACCAUUGUGUUCCUAGUAUAAUUCCUCUUAUGACACUCGUGAUUGUUGACACUUUUUUCUUUUACUAGACUCUUCUGUGAGAGCUGGUAUUCAUUUUUGGCUUACUUGCUAUAAUCUCUCCAAUGCCUUGAACAGUAUGUGGCACAAAACAAGUUCUUAGAGAAAUAUUUUGAUGAAUUCCCAAGUAAUUGAUAGAUAUGAACUCAGAUCUGAUGCUUGGAAACAACCAUAAUGUCCUCCUAAAUUCUCAACACCUUACACACAAAUUUGGGGACCCACCUGCUUGAUUGAGUCUGUUUUUGAUGAUUAUAAGGGUAACUUACCAUUGCCAGUGUAAUGAUACUUUGUUCCUCCCUCUAAGACCAACCUUUUUUUUUAAGGUGAUGGUUGUGUUGAUGGGCUUUUCCCAUACUUUCUUGUUUAGUUCUGUUAUUUAUACUUUAGGCUAUAAAGAGCAGUUUGGAUUCCUUUUUUCAGACUUUUAACCUUGAUGAUUAUUGCUACUUAAAUAUUAGUUUCUUAGCAUGCUUUCACAUUGGUGCCAUUCUUAUUUCGCAAGUGGAAAAAGUAUAAGAAUACUGAACAAUGCGAAUGCAAAUACAUAAUUGCUUGUGAAUCUACUUGUAUGGUUUAUUGGAAAAAGUAAAACAACUGGGCUGGGCGCACUGGCUCAUGCCUGUAAUCCCAGUACUUUGGGAGGUCUGGGUGAACAGAUCACCUGAGGCUGGUCUCAAACUCCUGACCUCAGGUGAUCCACCUGCCUUGGCCUCCCAAAGCGCUGGGAUUACAGGUGUGAGCCACCGUGCCUGGCCAACAGUAAGAUUUUUUUAGAGUUCUGUCUUAAUGUAGACACUAGCUAACAAAUGUAAUUUUGAAGAACUGAGAACUGUGGUUAAUUUUGGUUCUUCUUUUUCAGUCAAGUGCUUCUGCUCCUGAUGUGGAUGACCCAGAGGCAUUCCCAGCUCUGGCUUAACUGGAUGCCAUAAGACAACCCUGGUUCCUUUGUGAACCCUUCUGUUCAAAGCUUUUGCAUGCUUAAGGAUUCCAAACGACUAAGAAAUUAAAAAAAAAAAAAAGACUGUCAUUCAUACCAUUCACACCUAAAGACUGAAUUUUAUCUGUUUUAAAAAUGAACUUCUCUCGCUACACAGAAGUAACAAAUACGGUAGUCAGUUUUGUAUUUAGAAAUGUAUUGGUAGCAGGGAUGUUUUCAUAAUUUUCAGAGAUUAUGCAUUCUUCAUGAAUACUUUUGUAUUGCUGCUUGCAAAUAUGCAUUUCCAAACUUGAAAUAUAGGUGUGAACAGUGUGUACCAGUUUAAAGCUUUCACUUCAUUUGUGUUUUUUAAUUAAGGAUUUAGAAGUUCCCCCAAUUACAAACUGGUUUUAAAUAUUGGACAUACUGGUUUUAAUACCUGCUUUGCAUAUUCACACAUGGUCAACUGGGACAUGUUAAACUUUGAUUUGUCAAAUUUUAUGCUGUGUGGAAUACUAACUAUAUGUAUUUUAACUUAGUUUUAAUAUUUUCAUUUUUGGGGAAAAAUCUUUUUUCACUUCUCAUGAUAGCUGUUAUAUAUAUAUGCUAAAUCUUUAUAUACAGAAAUAUCAGUACUUGAACAAAUUCAAAGCACAUUUGGUUUAUUAACCCUUGCUCCUUGCAUGGCUCAUUAGGUUCAAAUUAUAACUGAUUUACAUUUUCAGCUAUAUUUACUUUUUAAAUGCUUGAGUUUCCCAUUUUAAAAUCUAAACUAGACAUCUUAAUUGGUGAAAGUUGUUUAAACUACUUAUUGUUGGUAGGCACAUCCUGUCAAGUGAAAUAGUUUUAUAGGUAUGGGUUUUUUCUCCCCCUCCACCAGGGUAGGUGGAAUAAGUUGAUUUGGCCAAUGUGUAAUAUUUAAACUGUUCUGUAAAAUAAGUGUCUGGCCAUUUGGUAUGAUUUCUGUGUGUGAAAGGUCCCAAAAUCAAAAUGGUACAUCCAUAAUCAGGAACCAUUUAACCCUUCCUUGUUCUAAAACAAAAACCAAAGGGCACUGGUUGGUAGGGUGAGGCGGGGGAGUAUUUUAAUUUUUGGAAUUUGGGAAGCAGACAGCUUUACUUUGUAAGGUUGGAACAGCAGCACUAUACAUGAAAUAUAAACCAAAAACCUUUACUGUUUCUGAAUUUCCUAGAUUGCUAUUAUUUGGUUGUAAGUUGAGUAUUCCACCGAAAGUGGUAAUUAUCUCUUCUCUCUUCCUCCAUUAGAAAAUUAGGUUAAUAAUGGAUUCCUAUAAUGGGAGCAUCACCACUUAUUAAAACACACAUAGAAUGAUGAAUAAAAAAAGUUUUCUAGGAUUGUCUUUUAUUCUGCCACAUUUAUUGAUAAACAGUGAAGGAAUUUUUUAAAAAAAUUUUAAGAAUUGUUUGUCAUGUCAUUUUUAGAAAUGUUCUACCUGUAUAUGGUAAUGUCCAGUUUUAAAAAUAUUGGACAUCUUCAAUCUUAAACAUUUCUAUUUAGCUAAUUGGUUCUCACAUACACUUCUAAAAGAGAAACUUUAUGUUAUAAGAGUUACUUUUUGGAUAAGAUUAAUUAAUCUCAGUUACCUACUAUUCUGACAUUUUAGGAAGGAGGUAAUUGUUUUUAAUGAUGGAUAAACUUGUGCUGGUGUUUUGGAUCUUAUGAUGCUGAGCAUGUUCUGCACUGGUGCUAAUGUCUAAUAUAAUUUUAUAUUUACACACAUACGUGCUACCCAGAGAUUAAUUUAGUCCGUAUGAACUAUUGACCUAUUGUUGAUUGAGACAGCAACAUACGCACUCCUAAAUCAGUGUGUUUAGACUUUUCAAGUAUCUAACUCAUUUCCAAACAUGUACCAUGUUUUAUAAACCUCUUGAUUUCCAGCAACAUACUAUAGAAAACACCUGCUACUCAAAACACAGCUUCUUCUCAGUGUCAUCCAUUGCUGUCGUGAGAGACAACAUAGCAAUAUCUGGUAUGUUGCAAGCUUUCAAGAUAGCCUGAACUUAAAAAGUUGGUGCAUUAGUUGUAUCUGAUGGAUAUAAAUUUGCCUCCUAGUUCACUUUGUGUCAAGAGCUAAAACUGUGAACCUAACUUUCUCUUAUUGGUGGGUAAUAACUGAAAAUAAAGAUUUAUUUUCAUGCUCA